AUGGCUGUCGUCAGCUCGUGUCGUGAGAUGUUGGUUAAGUCCCGCAACGAGCGCAACCCUUGCCAUCAGUUGCUACGAAAGGGCACUCUGAUGGGACUGCCGGUGACAAACCGGAGGAAGGUGGGGGAUGACGUCAAGUCCUCAUGGCCCUUAUAGGUGGGGCUACACACGUCAUACAAUGGCCGGUACAAAGGGCAGCAAACCCGCGAGGGGGAGCCAAUCCAUCAAAGCCGGUCGUAGUCCGGAUCGCAGUCUGCAACUCGACUGCGUGAAGUCGGAAUCGCUAGUAAUCGUGGAUCAGCAUGUCACGGUGAAUACGUUCCCGGGUCUU
This 331-nucleotide ribosomal RNA is filed under the name uncultured Hydrogenophaga sp. Its description in RNAcentral is "bacterial SSU rRNA". It matches the Rfam family "Bacterial small subunit ribosomal RNA", at positions 1045 to 1382 of the family's 1533-position model. The record is from RNAcentral. Lineage: Bacteria; Pseudomonadati; Pseudomonadota; Betaproteobacteria; Burkholderiales; Comamonadaceae.